RNAcentral lists this ribosomal RNA (393 nucleotides) under uncultured bacterium. Its description in RNAcentral is "partial 16S ribosomal RNA". It matches the Rfam family "Bacterial small subunit ribosomal RNA", at positions 523 to 918 of the family's 1533-position model. The record is from RNAcentral.
AUACGGAAGGUCCGGGCGUUAUCCGGAUUUAUUGGGUUUAAAGGGAGCGCAGGCGGAGAUGCAAGCGUGACGUCAAAUUUCGGGGCUCAACCCCGUCUCGCGUCGCGAACUGCGUCCCUUGGUUGCGGGAAGGGGAGGCGGAACUCGUGGUGUAGCGGUGAAAUGCAUAGAUAUCACGAAGAACUCCGAUCGCGAAGGCAGCCUUCCGGCCCGUCAACGACGCGCAUGCUCGAAGGUGCGGGUAUCAAACAGGAUUAGAUACCCUGGUAGUCCGCACAGUAAACGAUGGACACCCGCGGUUUGGCCUAUAUGGCUGAGCCGCCAAGCGAAAGCGUUAAGUGUCCCACCUGGGGAGUACGCCGGCAACGGUGAAACUCAAAGGAAUUGACGGGG